Molecule: ribosomal RNA, 696 nt
Filed under: uncultured Gammaproteobacteria bacterium
Lineage: Bacteria; Pseudomonadati; Pseudomonadota; Gammaproteobacteria
Description: bacterial SSU rRNA
Rfam family: Bacterial small subunit ribosomal RNA
Source: RNAcentral
AGUCGAACGGCAGCACAGUAUGUAGCAAUACAUAUGGGUGGCGAGUGGCGGACGGGUGAGUAACGCGUGGGAAUCUGCCUUGAAGCGGGGGACAACCCGAGGAAACUCGGGCUAAUACCGCAUAAUCUCGAGAGAGAAAAGCUGGGGCAACCUGGCACUUCAAGAGGAGCCUGCGUCUGAUUAGCUAGUUGGUGGGGUAAAGGCCUACCAAGGCGAUGAUCGGUAACUGGUCUGAGAGGAUGACCAGUCACACUGGGACUGAGACACGGCCCAGACUCCUACGGGAGGCAGCAGUGGGGAAUAUUGGACAAUGGGGGCAACCCUGAUCCAGCAAUGCCGCGUGUGUGAAGAAGGCCUUCGGGUUGUAAAGCACUUUAGGUGGGGAGGAAGGUGUAUAUUUUAAGAGAUAAUACAUUUGACUGUACCUGCAGAAUAAGCACCGGCUAACUCUGUGCCAGCAGCCGCGGUAAUACAGAGGGUGCAAGCGUUAAUCGGAAUUACUGGGCGUAAAGGGCGCGUAGGCGGUUAUUUAAGUUAGAUGUGAAAUCCCUGGGCUUAACCUAGGAACUGCAUCUAAGACUGGAUAGCUGGAGUGCAGUAGAGGGUAGUGGAAUUUCCGGUGUAGCGGUGAAAUGCGUAGAUAUCGGAAGGAACACCAGUGGCGAAGGCGGCUACCUGGACUGACACUGACGCUGA